RNAcentral lists this ribosomal RNA (254 nucleotides) under uncultured bacterium. RNAcentral's name for it is "partial 16S ribosomal RNA". It matches the Rfam family "Bacterial small subunit ribosomal RNA", at positions 9 to 261 of the family's 1533-position model. The record is from RNAcentral.
GAGUUUGUAUCCUGGCUCAGAUUGAACGCUGGCGGCAGGCCUAACACAUGCAAGUCGAGCGGUAGAGAGAAGCUUGCUUCUCUUGAGAGCGGCGGACGGGUGAGUAAUGCCUAGGGAAUCUGCCUGGGUAGUGGGGGAUAACGGCUCGGAAACGGACGCUAAUACCGCAUACGUCCUACGGGAGAAAGCAGGGGACCUUCGGGCCUUGCGCUAUCAGAUGAGCCUAGGUCGGAUUAGCUAGUUGGUGAGGUAAU